GAAUAGGAACGCAACGUGCAACGUGACGACAGGGAUAUAAACAUAGUGACAAUCGACUUGAAGGCGUUGAAGCCCGUAUAAUAAAAUAAAAUUGAUAGUCAAAGUAGUAGUACUGUCACACUGCGUUCUCUGUCGGUUAUAGUUCAGAACUUAUCAUCUAGGUGGAGAAUCAUUCAAUGAUAGAAGUCACUGGGUGUUUUUAAGAAACAUCAUCAAUCUUCAUUUUGAGCUGGCAACAUUUUAUCAAUCCAUGAUAAUUACUGGAACAAACGAUCUAAGUUGCUGCGUAUAGUGUUGGGGUGAUGAAUCCAAUCCUUCAUUUAAGUCCCUGGGUAUAGUUAUCGACUAGGGCUGAUAAGUAGACUUUGUUACCAGCACAACAACACUCAUUUCUACCAUCACUCUAAAGUUAUAAAGAUAGAAGAUCAUUGAAUGAUAGCUGGGUCAUUCCAUCCCAACUCGAAUUUUUUCGUCGCGGAAAAAAAUAGAAAUGUCUGAUUUUUUACAGUGUGUUCCUGAUACAUCAAUUAUGCACUGUGUAAAAUAUCAGAUUUUUAAAAACAAACUG
Molecule: long non-coding RNA, 568 nt
Organism: Daphnia pulicaria
Lineage: Eukaryota; Metazoa; Arthropoda; Branchiopoda; Diplostraca; Daphniidae
Exons: 5
Source: RefSeq, a predicted model, not a curated record